This 445-nucleotide ribosomal RNA is filed under the name uncultured bacterium. Its description in RNAcentral is "bacterial SSU rRNA". It matches the Rfam family "Bacterial small subunit ribosomal RNA", at positions 29 to 513 of the family's 1533-position model. The record is from RNAcentral.
AACGAACGCUGGCGGCAGGCUUAACACAUGCAAGUCGAACGCUCGUAGCAAUACGGGAGUGGCGGACGGGUGAGUAACGCGUGGGAACGUGCCCUGAGGUACGGAAUAACUGAGGGAAACUUCAGCUAAUACCGUAUGAGCCCCGAGAGGGGGAAAGAUUUAUCGCCUUGGGAGCGGCCCGCGUCGGAUUAGCUAGUUGGUGGGGUAACGGCCUACCAAGGCUUCGAUCCGUAGCUGGUCUGAGAGGACGAUCAGCCACACUGGGACUGAGACACGGCCCAGACUCCUACGGGAGGCAGCAGUGGGGAAUCUUGCGCAAUGGGGGGCAACCCUGACGCGGCCAUGCCGCGUGAACGAUGAAGGCCUUAGGGUUGUAAAGUUCUUUACCCGUGACGAUGAUGACGGUACCGGUAAGAAGAAGCGACCGGCUAACUACGUGCCAGCA